Molecule: ribosomal RNA, 1337 nt
Rfam family: Bacterial small subunit ribosomal RNA
GAGUACACGUAAGCAACCUACCCUAAAGACGAGGAUAACCAUUGGAAACAGUGGCUAAGACUGGAUAGGAAGAUAAAAGGCAUCUUGUAUCUUUUAAAAGACCUAGUUAAUAGGUAUGCUUUAGGAGGGGCUUGCGCCAUAUUAGUUAGUUGGUAGGGUAAUGGCCUACCAAGACGAUGAUGUGUAGCUGGACUGAGAGGUUGAACAGCCACAUUGGGACUGAGACACGGCCCAAACUCCUACGGGAGGCAGCAGUAGGGAAUUUUCGGCAAUGGAGGAAACUCUGACCGAGCAACGCCGCGUGAAUGACGAAGUACUUCGGUAUGUAAAGUUCUUUUAUCGAGGAAGAAAAGCAAAUGGCGAACCAUUUGUUUGCCGGUACUUGAUGAAUAAGCCCCGGCUAAUUAUGUGCCAGCAGCCGCGGUAAGACAUAAGGGGCAAGUGUUAUCCGGAAUUAUUGGGCGUAAAGGGUGCGUAGGCGGUCUAGUAAGUCAGUGGUGUAAUGGCAACGCUUAACGUUGUCCGGCUAUUGAAACUGCUAAACUUGAGUUAGAUAGAGGCGAGUGGAAUUCCAUGUGUAGCGGUAAAAUGCGUAAAUAUAUGGAGGAACACCAGAGGCGUAGGCGGCUCGCUGGGUCUUAACUGACGCUGAGGCACGAAAGCGUGGGGAGCAAACAGGAUUAGAUACCCUGGUAGUCCACGCCGUAAACGAUGAGUACUAAGUGUCGGGUUAAACCGGUACUGAAGUUAACACAUUAAGUACUCCGCCUGAGUAGUACGUACGCAAGUAUGAAACUUAAAGGAAUUGACGGGACUCCGCACAAGCGGUGGAUCAUGUUGUUUAAUUCGAAGAUACCCGAAAAACCUUACCAGGUCUUGACAUGUUUUUGCAAAAUGAUAGUAAUAUCGUGGAGGUUACCAGAAACACAGGUGGUGCAUGGUUGUCGUCAGCUCGUGUCGUGAGAUGUUAGGUUAAGUCCUAAAACGAGCGAAACCCUUAUCGUUAGUUGCCAGCACGUUAUGGUGGGGACUUUAACGAGACUGCCAAUGAUAAAUUGGAGGAAGGUGAGGAUCACGUCAAAUCAGCAUGCCCCUUAUGACCUGGGCUACAAACGUGAUACAAUGGCUGUUACAAAGGGUAGCUGAAACGCAAGUUCUUGGCCAAUCCCCAAAAACAGUCCCAGUCCGGAUUGAAGUCUGCAACUCGACUUCAUGAAGUUGGAAUCGCUAGUAAUCGCGAAUCAGCAUGUCGCGGUGAAUACGUUCUCGGGGUUUGUACACACCGCCCGUCAAACCACGAAAGUUGGCAAUACCCCAAAACGGUAGCCUAACUCGUU